This 1542-nucleotide ribosomal RNA is filed under the name human gut metagenome. RNAcentral's name for it is "bacterial SSU rRNA". It matches the Rfam family "Bacterial small subunit ribosomal RNA". The record is from RNAcentral.
AGAGUUUGAUCAUGGCUCAGGAUGAACGCCGGCGGUGUGCCUAAUACAUGCAAGUCGUACGCACUGGCCCAACUGAUUGAUGGUACUUGCACCUGAUUGACGAUGGAUCACCCGUGAGUGGCGGACGGGUGAGUAACACGUAGGUAACCUGCCCCGGAGCGGGGGAUAACAUUUGGAAACAGAUGCUAAUACCGCAUAACAACAAAAGCCACAUGGCUUUUGUUUGAAAGAUGGCUUUGGCUAUCACUCUGGGAUGGACCUGCGGUGCAUUAGCUAGUUGGUAAGGUAACGGCUGUCCAAGGCGAUGAUGCAUAGCCGAGUUGAGAGACUGAUCGGCCACAAUGGAACUGAGACACGGUCCAAACUCCUACGGGAGGCAGCAGUAGGGAAUCUUCGGCAAUGGACGAAAGUCUGACCGAGCAACGCCGCGUGAGUGAAGAAGGCUUUCGGGUCGUAAAACUCUGUUGUUGGAGAAGAAUGGUCGGCAGAGUAACUGUUGUCGGCGUGACGGUAUCCAACCAGAAAGCCACGGCUAACUACGUGCCAGCAGCCGCGGUAAUACGUAGGUGGCAAGCGUUAUCCGGAUUUAUUGGGCGUAAAGCGAGCGCAGGCGGUUUUUUAAGUCUGAUGUGAAAGCCCUCGGCUUAACCGAGGAAGUGCAUCGGAAACUGGGAAACUUGAGUGCAGAAGAGGACAGUGGAACUCCAUGUGUAGCGGUGAAAUGCGUAGAUAUUAGGAAGAACACCAGUGGCGAAGGCGACUUUCUGGACGAAAACUGACGCUGAGGCUCGAAAGCAUGGGUAGCGAACAGGAUUAGAUACCCUGGUAGUCCAUGCCGUAAACGAUGAAUGCUAGGUGUUGGAGGGUUUCCGCCCUUCAGUGCCGCAGCUAACGCAUUAAGCAUUCCGCCUGGGGAGUACGACCGCAAGGUUGAAACUCAAAGGAAUUGACGGGGGCCCGCACAAGCGGCGGAGCAUGCGGAUUAAUUCGAUGCAACGCGAAGAACCUUACCUGGGCUUGACAUGUUCCCGACGAUCCCAGAGAUGGGGUUUCCCUUCGGGGCGGGUUCACAGGUGGUGCAUGGUCGUCGUCAGCUCGUGCUGGGAGAUGUUGGGUUAAGUCCCGCAGCGAGCGCAACCCUCGCCGCGUGUUGCCAGCGGGUCAUGCCGGGAACUCACGUGGGACCGCCGGGGUUAACUCGGAGGAAGGUGGGGAUGACGUCAGAUCAUCAUGCCCCUUACGUCCAGGGCUUCACGCAUGCUACAAUGGCCGGUACAACGGGGUGCGACACGGUGACGUGGGGCGGAUCCCUGAAAACCGGUCUCAGUUCGGAUCGCAGUCUGCAACUCGACUGCGUGAAGGUGGAGUCGCUAGUAAUCGCGGAUCAGCAACGCCGCGGUGAAUGCGUUCCCGGGCCUUGUACACACCGCCCGUCAAGUCAUGAAAGUGGGCAGCACCCGAAGACGGUGGCCUAACCCUUGUGGGGGGAGCCGUCUAAGGUGAGGCUCGUGAUUGGGACUAAGUCGUAACAAGGUAACCGUA